This 1015-nucleotide long non-coding RNA is filed under the name Saimiri boliviensis boliviensis (Bolivian squirrel monkey). RNAcentral's name for it is "lncRNA (ENSSBOG00000036620.1)". Lineage: Eukaryota; Metazoa; Chordata; Mammalia; Primates; Cebidae. The record is from RNAcentral.
UCACGGCCUCCCUGCUGUGCAGCUGGAGGAGGUCGGACCGCUAAGUCCAAUCCGGAAGUCGUAGGGAAGUGGGGAGGUCAGGACGGUGGCGCCCGCGGCUGGGGGUCCUCCUUGGGGCGGUGUGCGCGCGGCUUUCUCUUCCACCGUCCUGGACCUGCUCUGACUCCCGGCCCGAGGCUCCCCGCGUGGCCUCGCGUCUGGUCGCCGGCCCCUUGCAGCCAGCUCCGCCCAGCAUGGACCCGGAUCCGGGGCGCCUUAGUGGCGAUCUGCCAGGAGGGCCGUAAGGUGAGCUUUCUGCCCCUAAAUUGCAGUGCAAAUCUCGGGGCCCUGAACGUUACGACUUUCCACUGUUGGGAACGCCGCCAGGGCUUCGCCUAAGAAGACGCUGUACCCUAAAGAAUUUUGUUUUAUUUCGUUUUUCUAAGUUGACUCAUCUUUCUGAUUUGUGUUGUCAGAACACUGGGGGGAUGAUUGUUACUGGACAAACCGCCUAUGGCGGGACCUGAAGCCUCCCCGCCACCUCGGGAACGGAUAGGAGCAGAGGCUGGCGCCGCCGGUGCAGUGGGCAUCACAGCAGCCAAAGAAUUUAGAGCAAGUCCACGUGGACAUGCAGGUCUCCACGAGCGUGGAUUUCCUGCGAGGCCGAUCGCGAAGAAGUGCUGGCCCAGAGGCUCGGGUGUCUCCCCCGGCACGCGGCCGGCUGAGAAGGCCGCGGCGCUCGCCAGGAGCGGGGACGUCCUCGGUGUCGCGGGGACCGAAGGAGGCGGCGCAGGCCCGGAGACGUGCGCGCGGGCGGCGAGGGGGCGCUGUGGCCCGUGCCUGUCGGCCGGAGUCCCACCAACGAUGGGCGCGACCCACCUCCUCCCACGGCGGCUUAAUUAGGGAAACUAGAAAAAAAAAAAAAAAAAAAACGCGUCCAGGCAUUUCAAUAAAACCUAACCGGCUCCGGAUCCUUUCUCAUUGUGGUUCCUUAUGAGCUCUGGUGUUUGGGGGGAAAAACAGUUACCAUUCCGGG